UUUGACAAUUUCCUCCUUCCAUUGACUGUAAUCUUUCUAGAUCUCCUAUGAUUCAUAUAUAGGACGUCCUAGGCCAAUCCUCCAAUUUUCUUUUCUCUCCCAGUUUUCAUCUUUCUAUUCUACACAUUUUGGGAGAUUGUCUCAAUUUUAUCUUUUACACACUCUUUGGAUUUCAUUUUUAAUAUAGUUAAUAAUUUCUAAAAAUGCUUGUUUUCCUUUUUUUUUUUUUAAGUUUCCUGUUAUUGUUGCAUGGAUACAGUAUCUUCGCUCUAAAUUCAGAUACUAUGAUUUUGUGACCUUUUCUUUUGUUAUUUACAUUGCCUUUUUUUCCUACUUCUAUUUGUCAAAAUUCACAUUGCCUUUAUUUCCUUGUUUUUCAGUUUACCUGUUCUGGUCUUUCCUCACAUAUCUGACAAUCGUUAGCUCUCUUUGUAUUUCAAAGAAAAGCUCUGGAAUGUGUCUGGGACCUGUGUAUAUAUGGGCAAAACUCAUCAACGAAUGGGCUCCCUGGUGAUUAUUUGGCAGAUUCCUGGCAAUUUCAUCAGAGGAUCCAAAAAUUGGAGAAACUCCAAGAUGAACCCCAAAGAUCUCCAUCUCCAGCUGUUCACACUCCUAUGUAAUCUCUAGCCCUUGGGUGUGGAAAGGACUUGUGACUUACUUUAACCAACAACAGAAUAUAGCAAAGAUGCCUAAGAACUGCAAAUGAGAAAUAAUUUUCUCACCUGGUCACAGCAUCUACCAAGAAUGGCGCUGGGGGAGAGAUCAGUGAGAU
This 772-nucleotide long non-coding RNA is filed under the name Homo sapiens (human). Its description in RNAcentral is "HSALNT0305455". Lineage: Eukaryota; Metazoa; Chordata; Mammalia; Primates; Hominidae. The record is from RNAcentral.